RNAcentral lists this non-coding RNA (30 nucleotides) under Rattus norvegicus (Norway rat). Lineage: Eukaryota; Metazoa; Chordata; Mammalia; Rodentia; Muridae. The record is from RNAcentral.
CUCCACUGUGGAGAAUGCCAUCGGGGAAAC